GAAGAGAGGGAAAGAAAGGAAGAACAAACCCUAGGUGAGGAAUUUCAAGAGAAAAAGUGUGGAAAAUCAAGGAAAACAAGUGAAAAAGGUAAGAUUUUUCAACUUAAGCUUGAAAUCUAUUGUCCUUAAGCAUUUCUCCUUAUUUUCCAUGCUUAAAUUACAUGUUUUUAUGAUCAAUUGUUGGCUGAUCAAAAUGGGUAUGGAGAGAGAAAGUUGUUGGAUUGAUUUGAUUUUAAGUUAUGUUAGUGUUUUUGGUUAGUUUAGCAUAUUUAGAAACAAAACAAUAAGAAAAGAAUUUAUUUUCUCCAACCACCAUCAAUGGCCGAAUUUACCAUGUGUUGAGUGGGGAUGAAUUUGAUUUUUAUUCUGGGAGAAUUGGUUAGAAAAUGAUGAAUUAUGGUGUGAAAAAGUAGUAGGAAAAAUCACGGUGUUAAUGCACCAUUAUUGGCCGAAAAUUUUAAGAAGAAAAGUGAAGAUAGUUUUGCCAAAUUUUAGGUUAUUUGAAUUGAGUUUGGUGAAUUAAGAUAUUGGAAAAGAAUUGAAACAAUUUGGAGUAAUUUGGGAUUAAAUUGGACAUGUUAGUAAUUUAAUCGGGUGAUAAGACGAAUUAGGCCAAUACCGGGUUUAAAUAGUUACCAGUGCAUUUUUGCAUUCCAUAUCAUGCAUUAGUAGUCUAAAUUAGUUUAAUUUCAAUUUAGUACCAAUGUAGUGAGUUUCUCAAUUUUGUAUUGUGUCAAGGUGGCGAGUCCUCCGAUAAAGGCAAGGGAAUUGCAUUCGAGGACCAGUAGUCUGAGUAUUUCGAGAAUUGGCACUCUAGACAUUGUGAGUAAACUUACUGUCAUUUUAAUUAUCUAGGGUGAUUUUUAGAUGAUUUCAUUAAUUCUAUGGAAAAAUGGAUUUAAAAAGGUAAAUUUUCAUGUUUUAUGAAUAAAGGUGUUCCAAUGAAAUUAAUUUAUAAAUUGUUUUGAAAUUAAUAGUGAUUUUGAAAAAUAGAGUACACGGAGACUAUUAAUUGUGGUAAUUUGAUUGUUUAAAUUGAUUGGCUUAUGAUAAAUCGGGCAUGAUUGGCUAGUUGGUAAUUGUGUUGAAAUACGAAUUGUUUGGUUACCUUGAAAGACUGCGAAUUACAAAAUUGCCAUAUCAUGUUAUUGAGUUUUAUUGUAUGGUAGAUUAUAUAUUAAUUAAUCACUGCAGUAGGGGGUUUCUGUGGACCAGUCUUUUAGAGGGGCACGGUAAACCCCAUUAUAUUCUUACCUUGAAUGGAGAGGCGCGUAGGGUAUCUCUUGGGGUAAAGCUUAGGGUUCACUUCAUGCCAAACCAUUACAUGAGGGGGAACUCAGCCAACGCCAAGGAACGACUAUGUUUUCAAAACAAAAACAUGAUUUAUGUGAAAUGUGAAUUUUAAUAGCCUUGGCGGUCUCGGUAGGAUGCCUCGGCCAAGGUGUCCCUGAGAAUGGAUUUAUGGCACAAGCUUAGUUUUUAUGAAAUUCAUAAGCCUCUUCACGUAUUUUAAAUGAAAUGUAUUCUAAUACUGUGACUCAGUUUACGAUGAUUUACUUUAUUGUCUCCAUGUACUCAACUCUAGAUGUUUAUGAUGAUGUCUGUUUACUCAUUGGGAUUUUAUAAUCUCACCACCCUCCUUUCCACCCAUUUCAGGUUCAGUAUAGACUGUAGAUAGCUGAUCUCAUCGAGGACUACCGUUGGAUCUACAUUUUCCAAACCGUAGGUUCACAGUCCUCUUUACUUUUGUUUAUUCGGGGGCCCUCUUGUUAUUGUAAAUUAAAUUAAAUAUUUUGGCUUACUGUAUUACAGUAUGUAUAAAUU
This 1824-nucleotide long non-coding RNA is filed under the name Theobroma cacao (cacao). Its description in RNAcentral is "long non-coding RNA (TCAC_LNC003295)". The record is from RNAcentral. Lineage: Eukaryota; Viridiplantae; Streptophyta; Magnoliopsida; Malvales; Malvaceae.